Molecule: non-coding RNA, 131 nt
Organism: Pelobates cultripes (western spadefoot toad)
Lineage: Eukaryota; Metazoa; Chordata; Amphibia; Anura; Pelobatidae
Source: the annotation of a GenBank genome assembly
GCCAAUCAGCAGCAGACGCUCCCUCCCAGACCCUCCCACCUCCUGGACAGCAUCCAUUUUGAAGCUGCAUUCUUAGUGAGCUGUCCAGGAGGUGGGAGGGUCUGGGAGGGAGGGUCUGCUGCUGAAAUGUG